RNAcentral lists this ribosomal RNA (251 nucleotides) under uncultured bacterium. RNAcentral describes it as "partial 16S ribosomal RNA". It matches the Rfam family "Bacterial small subunit ribosomal RNA", at positions 524 to 776 of the family's 1533-position model. The record is from RNAcentral.
UACGUAGGGUGCGAGCGUUAAUCGGAAUCACUGGGCGUAAAGCGCACGUAGGCGGACUCUUAAGUCGGUGGUGAAAUCCUGGAGCUCAACUCCAGAACUGCCUUCGAUACUGGGAGUCUCGAGUCCGGGAGAGGUGAGUGGAACUGCGAGUGUAGAGGUGAAAUCGUAGAUAUUCGCAAGACACCAGUGGCGAAGGCGGCUCACUGGCCCGGUACUGACGCUGAGGUGCGAAAGCGUGGGGAGCAAACAGG